This 502-nucleotide ribosomal RNA is filed under the name uncultured bacterium. RNAcentral describes it as "partial 16S ribosomal RNA". It matches the Rfam family "Bacterial small subunit ribosomal RNA", at positions 28 to 507 of the family's 1533-position model. The record is from RNAcentral.
GACGAACGCUGGCGGCGGGCCUAAUACAUGCAAGUCGAACGAACCGCGACUAGGUGCUUGCACUUAGGGAAGGUGAGUGGCGAACGGGUGAGUAAUACGUAGGUAACCUCUUUCAUAUCGGGGGAUACGAGAGGCAAACGACGCUUAAGACGGCAUAGGACAGAGGGUGAAAUCAUCCAGUGAGGAAAGGUGGCGCAAGCAAGCGAGAAGACAUGGACCUGCGGUGCAUGAGCUAGUUGGUAGGGUAAAGGCCUACCAAGGCGAUGAUGCAUAGCCGACCUGAGAGGGUGAUCGGCCACAUUGGAACUGAGACACGGCCCAGACUCCUACGGGAGGCAGCAGUAGGGAAUCUUCCGCAAAGGGCGCAAGCCUGACGGAGCAACGCCGCGUGAGUGAAGAAGGUCUUCGGAUCGUAAAGCUCUGUUGUUAGGGAAGAACAGCGGAUGGAGUAACUGUUAUGCGUGUGACGGUACCUAACCAGAAAGCCACGGCUAACUACGUG